Non-coding RNA from Schistosoma haematobium, 48 nucleotides. The record is from Rfam. Lineage: Eukaryota; Metazoa; Platyhelminthes; Trematoda; Strigeidida; Schistosomatidae.
AUCCAGAUGACGGGUCCCAAAUAGGACGAAGUGAGGCGCGUCCUGGAU